This 371-nucleotide unclassified non-coding RNA is filed under the name uncultured Sphingobacteriales bacterium. Its description in RNAcentral is "contains 16S-23S intergenic spacer region". Lineage: Bacteria; Pseudomonadati; Bacteroidota; Sphingobacteriia; Sphingobacteriales. The record is from RNAcentral.
UCCGGCUUAUCACCGGCAGUCCCACUAGAGUGCCCAACUUAAUGAUGGCAACUAAUGGCAAGGGUUGCGCUCGUUGCAGGACUUAACCUAACACCUCACGGCACGAGCUGACGACAGCCAUGCAGCACCUAGUUUCGUGUCCUUGCGGACUGACCCUUUUCGGGGUCAUUCACUAACUUUCAAGCCCAGGUAAGGUUCCUCGCGUAUCAUCGAAUUAAACCACAUGCUCCUCCGCUUGUGCGGGCCCCCGUCAAUUCCUUUGAGUUUCAAUCUUGCGACCGUAUUCCCCAGGUGGAUUACUUAAUGCUUUCGCUCAGACGCGUACAGUGUAUCGCACACAUCGAGUAAUCAUCGUUUAGGGCGUGGACUAC